RNAcentral lists this ribosomal RNA (378 nucleotides) under uncultured bacterium. Its description in RNAcentral is "bacterial SSU rRNA". It matches the Rfam family "Bacterial small subunit ribosomal RNA", at positions 502 to 879 of the family's 1533-position model. The record is from RNAcentral.
UCCGUGCCAGCAGCCGCGGUAAUACGGAGGGGGUUAGCGUUGUUCGGAAUUACUGGGCGUAACGCGCACGUAGGCGGAUCUUAAAGUCUGGGGUGAAAUCGCGGGGCUCAACCCCGGAACUGCCUUGGAAACUCCGGGUCUUGAGUUCGAGAGAGGUGAGUGGAAUUCCGAGUGUACAGGUGAAAUUCGUAGAUAUUCGGAGGAACACCAGUGGCGAAGGCGCCUCACUGGCUCGAUACUGACCCUAGGUGCGAAAGUGUGGGGAGCAAACAGGAUUAGAUACCCUGGUAGUCCACACCGUAAAACGAUGAAGGGCAGACGUCGGGAAGCAUGCUUGUCGGUGACACACCCUAACGGAUUAAGCAUUCCCCCCCGGGG